AUUUGAUUUAUUAUUUUUUAAUUUUUUUAUUUAAUAAAAAAGCUAAAAAAAAUUAAUAUAGGUCGGGCCGGGCCUGGCUCGGGCUUACCAAUUUUAUUUUAGGCCAGGCUUGGACAAUUUUUUAAGCCCAUAUUUCGGGUCGGGCCGGGCACGGGCAUUAAAAACGGGCCUAAAAUUUUGUCUUGGCCCGGCUCAAACCCAGCCCAUCCCGGCCCAUGCUCAGCUCUACAUGGAUCCUAGUAAUCUUAGUUUACAGACCGAGAUUAAUAACUUCUAUAGGAAAUUGUGGAAAUUAUACAUCCCUUCAAAAGUUACAUUAACAUUAUGGAGAAUAUCUUGGAAUUUCAUCCCUUCAUUGGUUAAUCUCAAGCAGAAGAAAGUAGUAGAAAAUGCUCUUUGCCAUCGCUGCCGACAAAAUGAGGAAGACAAUUAUCAUAUUUUUCAGCAAUGUCCUACGUCAAGAGAGGUCUGGAAUCAUUUACAACUCUCAUGGGUACUUAACUGUAAUUAUCAAACUAUAUGGGAAUGGCUUACCUGGGUUUUUAGUUAGAGAAUGACUGAACAGAUUCGUUGUUUUUGCUGCGGCCUUUGGCUAGUCUGGUUCAACAGAAAUCGGGUAAUAUAUGAUAAAAUAAAUGUGUCACGGAGGGACAUUGCGAAGCAAACUCACAGUUAUAUUUCUGAGUUGAACGGGAUCAAAGGGAUGAGACUUACUGCUCAGUCUACUGAAGGAGCGAUACAGGAAAGAAGAAGAUCAGAAGUCACAAUCUCUUUCGACGCGGCCUUUGACCAACAAGUCUUCAGACAUUGUUAGUACACGACGCAGAAGGAAAAAUUUUAGCAUCCAAAACGACCAUCCACUCCGAAAUCGCAAAUCCAUUUGUGGCAGAGGCUCAUGUAGGGUUACAAGCAGUCAAGUUAGGGAUAUUCUUGGGGCUUAAUAAACUAGAAAUUUUGGGAGAUUCAAAGACCGUAAUUAAAAAAUGCCAGAGCAUAAAUACAGACAAAUCGAACAUCGGUGCGAUUAUCAGAGAUAUUCAACAUAAGAAAGACAGUUUUCAAGAGAUAAAGUUUCACUUCAUACCCAGAACAGAAAAUUUUCAUGCUCAUACUCUAGCGAAAAAGGCGUUAAAGAGAGGAGAUGACCAUUACCUGGUAGGAGAACUUCCAGAAUUUGCUCGCCAAACUUUGGAGGAAUGGAGGCCUAGAGAACCGAAUUGAGAGAAAAUGAAGAUUAAUGAUUGUUUGAAAGAGGUAGUAGGAAAAAUUAAUUGAUUCCCUUGGAAACUGCUAC
Molecule: long non-coding RNA, 1294 nt
Filed under: Gossypium barbadense (sea-island cotton)
Lineage: Eukaryota; Viridiplantae; Streptophyta; Magnoliopsida; Malvales; Malvaceae
Description: long non-coding RNA (GBAR_LNC003936)
Source: RNAcentral